This 484-nucleotide ribosomal RNA is filed under the name uncultured bacterium. RNAcentral describes it as "partial 16S ribosomal RNA". It matches the Rfam family "Bacterial small subunit ribosomal RNA", at positions 30 to 507 of the family's 1533-position model. The record is from RNAcentral.
AUUGAACGCUGGCGGCAGGCCUAACACAUGCAAGUCGAGCGGAUGAAGCGAGCUUGCUCCUGGAUUCAGCGGCGGACGGGUGAGUAAUGCCUAGGAAUCUGCCUGGUAGUGGGGGAUAACGUCCGGAAACGGGCGCUAAUACCGCAUACGUCCUGAGGGAGAAGGUGGGGGAUCUUCGGACCUCACGCUAUCAGAUGAGCCUAGGUUGGAUUAGCUAGUUGGUGGGGUAAAGGCCUACCAAGGCGACGAUCCGUAACUGGUCUGAGAGGAUGAUCAGUCACACUGGAACUGAGACACGGUCCAGACUCCUACGGGAGGCAGCAGUGGGGAAUAUUGGGCAAUGGGCGAAAGCCUGAUCCAGCCAUGCCGCGUGUGUGAAGAAGGUCUUCGGAUUGUAAAGCACGUUAAGUUGGGAGGAAGGGCAGUAAGUUAUUACCUUGCUGUUUUGACGUUACCAGCAGAAUAAGCACCGGCUAACUUCGUG